CACUAUCGUUAACUGAAUACAUAGGUUAACGAGGCGAACCGGGGGAACUGAAACAUCUAAGUACCCCGAGGAAAAGAAAUCAACCGAGAUUCCCCCAGUAGCGGCGAGCGAACGGGGAGCAGCCCAGAGUCUGAAUCAGCUUGUGUGUUAGUGGAACGGUCUGGAAAGUCCGACGGUACAGGGUGAUAGUCCCGUACACCAAAAUGCACAGGCUGUGAACUCGAAGAGUAGGGCGGGACACGUGGUAUCCUGUCUGAAUAUGGGGGGACCAUCCUCCAAGGCUAAAUACUCCUGACUGACCGAUAGUGAACCAGUACCGUGAGGGAAAGGCGAAAAGAACCCCGGCGAGGGGAGUGAAAAAGAACCUGAAACCGUGUACGUACAAGCAGUGGGAGCACCUUCGGGUGUGACUGCGUACCUUUUGUAUAAUGGGUCAGCGACUUAUAUUCUGUAGCAAGGUUAACCGUAUAGGGGAGCCGCAGGGAAACCGAGUCUUAACUGGGCGUUAAGUUGCAGGGUAUAGACCCGAAACCCGGUGAUCUAGCCAUGGGCAGGUUGAAGGUUGGGUAACACUAACUGGAGGACCGAACCGACUAAUGUUGAAAAAUUAGCGGAUGACUUGUGGCUGGGGGUGAAAGGCCAAUCAAACCGGGAGAUAGCUGGUUCUCCCCGAAAGCUAUUUAGGUAGCGCCUCGUGAAUUCAUCUUCGGGGGUAGAGCACUGUUUCGGCUAGGGGGUCAUCCCGACUUACCAACCCGAUGCAAACUACGAAUACCGAAGAAUGUUAUCACGGGAGACACACGGCGGGUGCUAACGUCCGUCGUGAAGAGGGAAACAACCCAGACCGCCAGCUAAGGUCCCAAAGUCAUGGUUAAGUGGGAAACGAUGUGGGAAGGCACAGACAGCCAGGAUGUUGGCUUAGAAGCAGCCAUCAUUUAAAGAAAGCGUAAUAGCUCACUGGUCGAGUCGGCCUGCGCGGAAGAUGUAACGGGGCUAAACCAUGCACCGAAGCUGCGGCAGCGACACUAUGUGUUGUUGGGUAGGGGAGCGUUCUGUAAGCCUGCGAAGGUGACCUGUGAGGGUUGCUGGAGGUAUCAGAAGUGCGAAUGCUGACAUAAGUAACGAUAAAGCGGGUGAAAAGCCCGCUCGCCGGAAGACCAAGGGUUCCUGUCCAACGUUAAUCGGGGCAGGGUGAGUCGACCCCUAAGGCGAGGCCGAAAGGCGUAGUCGAUGGGAAACAGGUUAAUAUUCCUGUACUUGGUGUUACUGCGAAGGGGGGACGGAGAAGGCUAUGUUAGCCGGGCGACGGUUGUCCCGGUUUAAGCAUGUAGGCUG
This 1335-nucleotide ribosomal RNA is filed under the name Klebsiella pneumoniae. RNAcentral's name for it is "bacterial LSU rRNA". It matches the Rfam family "Bacterial large subunit ribosomal RNA", at positions 146 to 1527 of the family's 2925-position model. RNAcentral also lists the same sequence under 3 other names. Lineage: Bacteria; Pseudomonadati; Pseudomonadota; Gammaproteobacteria; Enterobacterales; Enterobacteriaceae. The record is from RNAcentral.